This 595-nucleotide ribosomal RNA is filed under the name uncultured archaeon. RNAcentral describes it as "bacterial SSU rRNA". It matches the Rfam family "Archaeal small subunit ribosomal RNA", at positions 262 to 859 of the family's 1478-position model. The record is from RNAcentral.
GAUCGGUACGGGUUGUGAGAGCAAGAGCCCGGAGAUGGAACUGAGACAAGGUUCCAGGCCUACGGGGCGCAGCAGGCGCGAAACCUCCGCAAUGUGAGAAAUCGCGACGGGGGGAUCCCAAGUGCCAUUCUUAACGGGAUGGCUUUUCAUUAGUGUAAAAAGCUUUUGGAAUAAGAGCUGGGCAAGACCGGUGCCAGCCGCCGCGGUAACACCGGCAGCUCUAGUGGUAGCAACUUUUAUUGGGCCUAAAGCGUCCGUAGCCGGUUUAAUAAGUCUCUGGUGAAAUCCUGUAGCUUAACUGUGGGAAUCGCUGGAGAUACUAUUAGACUUGAGACCGGGAGAGGUUGGAGGUACUCCCAGGGUAGAGGUGAAAUUCUGUAAUCCUGGGAGGACCGCCUGUUGCGAAGGCGUCUAACUGGAACGGUUCUGACGGUGAGGGACGAAAGUUAGGGGCGCGAACCGGAUUAGAUACCCGGGUAGUCCUAACUGUAAACGAUGCGGACUUGGUGUUGGGGUGGCUUUGAGCUGUCCCAGUGCCGAAGGGAAGCUGUUAAGUCCGCCGCCUGGGAAGUACGGUCGCAAGACUGAAACUUAA